This is a non-coding RNA of Perkinsus chesapeaki, 75 nucleotides long. Lineage: Eukaryota; Perkinsozoa; Perkinsida; Perkinsidae. The record is from the annotation of a GenBank genome assembly.
UCCUCGGUCGGUCCUAGUUGGGAGAGCGUCAGACUGAAGAUCUGGAGCUCCUCAGUUCGAUCCUGGGUCUGGGCA